UACGGGGGGGGCAAGCGUUGUUCGGAAUUACUGGGCGUAAAGGGCUCGUAGGCGGCCAACUAAGUCAGACGUGAAAUCCCUCGGCUUAACCGGGGAACUGCGUCUGAUACUGGAUGGCUUGAGGUUGGGAGAGGGAUGCGGAAUUCCAGGUGUAGCGGUGAAAUGCGUAGAUAUCUGGAGGAACACCUGAGGCGAAGGCGGGCUACUGGGCCGAUACUGACGCUGAUGCGCGAAAGCCAGGGGAGCGAACGGG
This 253-nucleotide ribosomal RNA is filed under the name uncultured bacterium. RNAcentral's name for it is "partial 16S ribosomal RNA". It matches the Rfam family "Bacterial small subunit ribosomal RNA", at positions 524 to 776 of the family's 1533-position model. The record is from RNAcentral.